This 253-nucleotide unclassified non-coding RNA is filed under the name uncultured Anaerolineae bacterium. RNAcentral's name for it is "contains 16S-23S intergenic spacer region". It matches the Rfam family "Bacterial small subunit ribosomal RNA", at positions 524 to 776 of the family's 1533-position model. Lineage: Bacteria; Bacillati; Chloroflexota; Anaerolineae. The record is from RNAcentral.
AACGUAGGAGGCAAGCGUUAUCCGGAUUUACUGGGCGUAAAGCGCAUGUAGGCGGUGUCUUAAGUCGGCCGUGAAAGCUCCCGGCUCAACUGGGAGAGGUCGGUCGAAACUGGGAUGCUUGAGGGUGGCAGAGGAGAGUGGAAUUCCCGGUGUAGUGGUGAAAUGCGUAGAUAUCGGGAGGAACACCAGUGGCGAAAGCGGCUCUCUGGGCUAACCCUGACGCUCAGAUGCGAAAGCUAGGGGAGAGAACGGG